CCCUUAGAUGUUCUGGGCUGCACGCGCGCUACACUGAUGCGCUCAACGAGUUUAUGACCUUGCCUGGAAAGGUUGGGUAAUCUUCUUAAAACGCAUCGUGAUGGGGAUAGAUUAUUGCAAUUAUUAAUCUUCAACGAGGAAUUCCUAGUAAGCGCGAGUCAUCAGCUCGUGCUGAUUACGUCCCUGCCCUUUGUACACACCGCCCGUCGCUCCUACCGAUUGGAUGGUCCGGUGAAGCCUCGGGAUUGUGGUUCUUGCCGCUUUAUUGUGGCGUGACCGCGAGAACUUGUCUAAACCUUAUCAUCUAGAGGAAGGUGAAGUCGUANCA
Molecule: ribosomal RNA, 328 nt
Filed under: uncultured eukaryote
Lineage: Eukaryota
Description: partial 18S ribosomal RNA
Rfam family: Eukaryotic small subunit ribosomal RNA
Source: RNAcentral